Long non-coding RNA from Phasianus colchicus (ring-necked pheasant), 541 nucleotides. RefSeq lists it as uncharacterized. The record is from RefSeq and is a predicted model, not a curated record. Lineage: Eukaryota; Metazoa; Chordata; Aves; Galliformes; Phasianidae.
UACUAGGAGUAGAGUCUAUUGUAGUAGUAAUGGGCCUUCCUAAGGCAAGGGUCAGCUGUAUGUAAACUUUCUCAAACUAGAACUGUGUGUUUUGAGACUGAUUGGAAAUGUCUCUCUUUCUACUGCUACAUUUUAAUGGAGGAGCAAUAUAGAAACAUAAGUAUUGUCUGUGUUAUCUAUUCUGUGCAUUCUGAGGGUUCAUGUUCUCAUCUAUGUCCUGAAUCUACAUGGGGAGAUGAUAGCACAGAUCUCUAUUGGUGGAGUCUAUAGGCUGCAGAAAAAACCUUGAAGAAGGUCUUCGAUAGCAGCAUGAAAGGCUGCUGUCCAGAGGCCAUUAGUACGUGACUGGGAAGAGGAGGACUUGGCUGUGACUGGGCUGGUAGCUUCACAGAAGGUCCUUGAGCAACUGUUUAUUUCCAGAGUGUUCCUGGGCAAUUCUGAAUGUAUUCAUCCUCUCUUGAAAGUCUAGCUACUUACAAUCUUGAGUCUAGGGGGAGAGAGGGAGUUGCAUACUGACGUUUAAGUGCCCCUUUUUACUGUC